CUCGCCCGCCACUCCUGCGGUGGCCUCUGGCUCCUCUGCGGCCAUAGCAGCCAAGCCUGGCAUGUAGAAGGAGGUCCUGGGGACUGAUACAGAAAGCAGCGAGGUGAGGGAGGCCUCCCGGACGUUAUUUGCAGGUGUCGCUUGAUGGAGAAGGCAGUCUGGAGUGGUUUGGGGCUUCUCCCCAGCCCCGACACAGUUUUAAAGGAAAGAUCCUGGCCAGUGCUGUCAGGGAAGGGGCAUUUUUGCCCACAUGUUGGGUUGUUUGGUCCUCCAGCGGCCUGCCUUGACUUGACUUGAACUUCCCAGAUAGAUGCAUCAUCUCCUUGUCUGUUUCUCUGUGCAAGGCCAUCACUACUUUUCUUUGUGCCAUCUAUCAUUACCUUCUGGCUAAGUAAAGCUGAGUGCUUUUCUUAAAGAGAGAAGUUGGACCAGGGAUGGUGAAAAGACUAAAGAUUGGGAGUCUGAAAUGGAUUGUUUGAGAAGAGAAUAAAGCGGAGAGUCGUAAACUUCCCACAUAGACCCACCCUCUCCUUGUCUGUCUUUCUACGCAAAGAUGGACCGGAUCCUGGACGAAUUUAGCAGUUGGUCUUGUGUAAAGCCGUGAUCCCCUCUCCAACGCAAGUCACCCUCUGCCCAGAAGAAACCAAGGAAGCUGCAGCGACUACGCCCUCAGUGGGUCACUCCUAUGCUUCUCUUUGCCCAGAAAGGCUGAGCAAGCCCAAGAACUCAACCCCUCAAGUUGCCUUCUAACUCAAAACCUCAAAAUGCUUUUCCUAUUAGGGAGGAGAUUGUGAAUGAAGUCUGAACCAAGGGCUUUCCUGAUUCAAAUACUGAGAAAGAAAAAUAGUACACAAAAUACUGCCCUGAUAGGAAGAGUGUUUGAUGAUUUUCAGUGCUAACGUGAGAAAGGAUGAAGAAGACAAAUUCUGUGUGUGUGUCUGAAAGGAACUUACAACGGUUCUAGAGGUUUCCUUAAGGUGUCUAAUUUUAGCUGGUAAUUUUCUUUUCUCUGUCACCACCCUCAUUACUUUUCUUUUGUUCUGGUAUUGGGAAUUGAACCCAGGGGUGCUCUACCACUGAGUUACACACCCAGCCCUUUAUAUAUAUAUAUAUAUAUAUAUAUAUAUAUAUAUAUAUAUAUAUAAUUUUUUUUUAUUUUGAGGCAGGGUCUCACUAAAUUACCCAUGCUGGCCUCCCAUCACGAUCCUCCUGCCUCAGCCUCCUGUGUAGUUGGGAUUACAGACAUGCCCCACUUAUUUUCCUUCCUUCCUUCCUUCCUUCCUUCCUUCUUUCUUUUCUUUUUCUUUUUUUGAGACAGGUUCUUGCUAAGUUGCUGAGGUUGGCCUUGAGCUGCAAUCCUCUUGCUUCAGCCUCCCAAGUCACUGGGAUUACAGGUGUGCUCCUCCAUGCCCGACUCCAUCAGUACUUUAUUUGUGUCAUUAAUCAUUAGCUUUUGACUGAGUAAAACCGAGUCAUUUUCAUAAAGAGAAAAGUUAGCCAGGGAUGGCCAAAAAAAAAAAAAAAAGAUGAUUGUGUUUCUGAAAAAGAUUGAGAGAAGAAGGGGGAGUUUAGCUGUUUGGGUCUCCUCACCUGGAUUCAGUACGCAACACUCUGCAUUCAGCUCACUGAAAUUUUUUAGUCAUUCUUGCCAGUAACUCACACUGAAAUUUUUUAGUCAUUCUUGCCAGUAACUUCCAUCUCCCCCAAUUUAAGGACAAUUUACAAACCUUUUCUUGCCUAAAAUUGCAGAAAUAGUUCAAACAUUUGUCUUCAUGUCAAAAGCAGACUCCCAGGUCUAAUUUUUUACUUCUUGUAUAAAUAAUUAUCACUUCUUUUACUGCCCCACAGUCAGUAGUCACAGGUCUCUCUCCAAAAUCUUGCUCCAGUCUGCCCAGCCAGCUGGCCACCGCAAUCUCAGCUCCUCUCCUGAUGGGUCUUCCUCAAUGCAGUCUUGCUCCGUGCCCAUCCAUUCUCCACAUUGCAGCCGAAAUAGCCUUUCUAAAUGGCAAACUUUAGCAUGCUGCUCCCCCAUUUAAAAUCUUUUGUGGUUUUUCAUUCCCUGAUUAUUUAUAAAUUAUAAACACGUGCUACUGUAUUACUCAAUCCUGUGCAUUGUAAAGAAUACAUAAGCUGCAAAUUUAAGAAAAUGAAAUAAAAAUAUAAAUGAUAGUUCUAACAUUUUCUUCCCAUAAUCCCAGCAGAGGUUAUCCACUCUGGAAAUGACUUGUCUAUAUAAUGCCAACCUCCAUAACACAGGAUAUAGGGGUUUCCUCGUUCUAAACUGAGGAUAUUCAUUUGCAUCCUUAUCUUAUCUCUUUAUUUUAUCCUUAAUAAUUCCCUUUAUUUCUUCAUAAUAAUAAGCAUAAUAAUCAUAAUCAUUCAUAAUAAUCAUUCCUUGUUUCAAGUUUAUUUUUGCUCUGCAUUCUCACUGGUCUGGAAGCUCCAUUAAAAAAUGAUCUGAUGCAUGAGCAAGGAGUAGUGGCUCACGACUAUAAUCCCAGCUGCUGAAGAGGCUGAGGCAGGAGGAUAAUGAGUUCAGAUCCAACCUCAGUAAAAGCAAGGUGCUAAGCAACUCAAUGAGACCCAGUUUCUAAAUAUAAUAAAGAAUAGGACUGGGGAUGUGGCUCAGUGGUCGAGUGCCCCUGAGUUCAAUUCCUGCACCCCUCCCACAAAUGAUCUGUUUCAAUCAUUGAUAUGCCACUAGUUGUUAUUAUAGUUUCCAGCACAAAAUAGGCACUCAAUAAAUGUGUGCUGCACAAGUGAAUUUAGUACUUCUAUUUUCUAUACACAUACUGGAAAGCAUAGAAAGCUUUCCAUAGAAAAUAAAAAGAAUGAAGAUGUACAAGGUAACAGAAAGAAGCACAGAAUAGAUGAAGAGAACAUCUGGACACCCUUCCAGGUCAUGGUGUGUUAACUGGGAAACAAUUUUGACUUCUGCAUAAUAAAAGUAAUAUAUAGGUAGAUAGGUAUAAAUAUUGAUAUUGAUAUAAAUGAUAGGAUAUUACACACAACUGAAUAGAUACUUGAGGCUUGGCAUGGGGUCUAAAUGAUGUCGGACACUCAGGUUCCUUCUAUGUAAUUAUUCUGUCCUCAACAUGUAGCUUUUCAACUCAUAGCUCAAAAUGGCUGUUCCUACUCCUCCCAUUGCCUCAGCAUUCCAACAAGGGAAAAGAGGGAAAGUGACAACAUAGGACAUGUAUUUCUUUUUCAAAAACAGAGUCUCAAUGAUGAGCCUUACUUCUGUUUACUACCCAUUAGUUGGAAAUUAGUUUCACGGCCACAUAGAGAUGCAAGGUAAGUUAGGAAAUUUUUUGUUUUGUUUUGUUUUGUUUUGUUUUUUGGGUGGCCCUGUGCAGAGCUAAAAUUCUGGGUUUCUGUUACUAAAUGAAGAAGAGGAUGGAUAUCAUCAGAGAAUUACUUGUUCGUGCAGCAUGGGCACUGCUGCCUUCUCAAAGCCUUACUACAUUUCUGCCCUUGUAGGUCUGUGUACCCCAUGCCUCAAGCCCCAUUUGAUGUUUGAAUUAGUUCAAGUUGUUAAACCAGUGCACAUAGGUAUCGAGGGGUGUGCAGCGACCAAGGUGCCACAGCACAGGUGUAUCAGACAGGCCAGGUGAUACCAUGGCAGCCACCCUCAAAGCCUGGUGGCUUCACACAACCAGUCUGUCUCUAGCCUUUGCCUGUUCUCUGAUGGUUUGCAGAGAGACUCUGAUCAUCACAGUCCCUUGAGGUCCCUAUUGACAGGCACCUGUGUCAAGCUUUUGGACAGCCAUUGUAGGAGAAGCAAGAGCAUACUAUGUACUGGCUUCCAGAAGCCCCAUGGGGCAAGUCACAUGUAGGGAAGGACAAGCUCUCAUCCAUCUAAAAGGAGGACUGGAGUGCCAGUGCCCACCGCUACCCCACCCAGCUCUCUAGAAGCUUUUCCUGUUAGCUUCUAGUCACUACUAGUAACUUUGUGAAGCAUGCAAAGGGUGCACUGUGAGCCCCUGCCCCUUCUCUUCUCUGCUCAAACCUGUCAGGCUGAAGAGACAAAAUGCCCCUGAUGCACUGGGGACACCUAAAGUCAACAACAACACAAACUAUCCCUCGUACCUUUCUAAAUCAAGGUAGGGAGAUCUCAAAUCCAUGCAGCUUUGGCUCUAGUGAAGACACCCUGUUUUGCUGCAUGUAUCCCUAAGCUCCACCAUGGAUUUUUACAGUGGGUUUGUGUUCCAGUCUGGCAAGCACCAAGCUUCUGGAAAAAAAAAAAAGACACCAAGGAUCAAGGGCAUGUGAGAACACAGAUAUUUUGCCAUGAGAGCAACAGGUUUCCAAGUCUGGCAAAGGCUAAAUAAAAGUGAGAUUCAAGGGACAUGAGAAAAAUCCCUGGCUGCCCCCCACCUACCAACAAAUGCUUUCAAAUGAAUGCAGGAGGACCACAAUGGCUCCCUUAAACAAAUUCAUUCCUGUGAUUUAUGGCAUUACCUUUCAAGGGUACUAACCAAGUGCCAGAGAGAGAGAGAGAGAGAGAGAGUUUGGUUGCUGUGUUUUGCUCGUACCUUAGUGGAGCAGAUGUGUCCUUUUAUGGCCUCUGGCUGGGAUCAAUGGCCCUGAAAUAAUCAGCUUUUAAAGAGGGCAAAAAGGAUAAUUUGGAGCACGGGGUAUUCUUUGAAGACAUGGGUCUUGGUGGGGUAUCCAUGUGGUCAUCAUGAGGCCACUCCUUGCCCGAGGUGGGGAUGGAGGUACAGAAAGACUUCUUGAAAGGCACUGAUCCUGGGUGUCACUUGAAUUGGAGAGCGUAAUGUCCAAGGGCUACUGCACACUUCUGGGCUUUGGAAAAGAUGUUUAGUUUCACAUUUUUCUCUCUCCUCUGAGGUCAUGUUCCCCCAGCACUAACUCAGCUCGAUGUCAUCCCCCUCCCCCUCUUCUGGUGCUGGACAUUGAACCCAGGGCCUCACACGUGCUAAUCACAUGAUAGACCACUAAGCUACACCAUCAGCUCCACAUCACCCCUUUACAGGCAGAGUCUCAACUACACCUCUUACUACACUGGAGUAGAAUUAACUGCUCCUCUCACCUCCUACCCCAGGGAUGUGUUCAGGGAUGGCAACUACAUUGUAUUCAUCUCUGUAUCCCUCACCUUUAACAUAGUAUCUUGGAUGUAGUUGGUGCUUAAAACAUUUCUUAAAGGGAUCAGUCAAUGAAUUAAGGCUUAAAUCUGG
Molecule: long non-coding RNA, 5198 nt
Filed under: Marmota monax (woodchuck)
Lineage: Eukaryota; Metazoa; Chordata; Mammalia; Rodentia; Sciuridae
Source: RNAcentral